CUUGUGAAAAUCCACAAUGAAUAGAAGUAAAUGAACUCCACUCUACAGCAUGUACAUAUUCGAGUUCUAAAGUCCUUGUUUGUGCCAGCAGUAGCAGUUGGUCAUUGGUUUCCGAGUCUCUUCACACUUCAGAUGGUUUCCGGUAAGAGAUAGCUUGGUUUGGGUAUGAUAUGUUGAAUGGCACCUCAUCUGUGGACUAAAAGGUGGCUUUGUCGCCUUUCCAGGAAGCCAGAUAGAUAACAAGCACCCCCAGGGAACCUGACUAUGUGAGUGUUGCAUGAAUAACAUCCAUUUUUAUAGUGGUAAAAUUGGAGGGAUACAAACUUUCUUGUGCCCCUCCCAUUAGGAGGAGGCUAGAGUUGGAAGAAUAAGUUAGAAUUAGCCCUAGGAUUCUGCAGGGAAUGGAGCACAUUUGUCUAAUUUUAACAACAUUUUCAUGAAGUGGAUUAUUAGCUAAAAACAGGAAUUCUUCACUCUUUGGACCAAGCUCUCUGUGGGAUUUAUUCAAUGAAAGCAAACUUUCACAUGCUUUACUUGAUUCUGUACCUGGAUGGUCAUUCCAGUCCCACCCGGGAACCAUGCCACCACAUCGCAAAUAUUGUGCGCUCUCUUCCUAUAACUCUGGCCUCCAAAGAGGCCCUUUGUUAGGUGAUGAUGGGACAAGCAUUAGUUCCAGCUAAAUAUAUCCAGAGCAAUCAACAAAUAAGACACUGAGAACAAAUUUUUCUAAAACCUCACAUCAGUAAUGCAUUCAGUGGAAUUUAAAUAAUUUUUUUAAAGUUUCAAUGAGGCACAUAUAUUAAAUUGAAGAGCCUCUGGGUCAGAAUAUUACAUGUCCAUGAUUAAUUCAAAAGAAUACAUUGCAUUCCCCUAGUGUUCGCGGUCUAUAAAGCACUGUUGCACUCAUUACAUCUGAUCCAAGCCUCCUCCCCCGCUGGCCAAAGAGCUGCUUUACAUCCUUUACUAUGGGCAUCUAUAAAUAUUAAAUUCACUUACUAGUGACCAUUAGAUUAAAAGGCCCAUGAAACUAUGAGCCCAAAACCUGAAACCGUCAAUCUUAGAGCAUAUUUGAUUUACGAAAAGGCAAUUUCAUCUAGUUCAAUUUAAUCCGAUUUCAUUUUGUUCUGUUAUGCUUUAUUCUCACGGCCCAUUUUGGGACAUGGAAGAACAGUGCUGAUCAUUGCCUCCCAGUUUACAGGAUAUUCUGCUGCCCCCAGAAGUGAGUCUGUUUAACUUGGCACAAGGGAGGAACAGAGUCAUCAUUGGCUGCAAGAGAGGCAUGUUAGUGGGAACAAUAUUCCAUGUCACAGUGAAAUGGAAGGCCCAGAAGGGUGGGAUCCUUGGGAGCAAAAACACAGGCCACAAAAUGUGUUGCAUUUGUCCCAAACCUGCAUGGAGUCCUGUGGCUCUGGACAUACUGGGAUGGAAAUGACUCAAUUUUACCAAGCACCAUCGUGCAAAGUGCAACACUGGACAUAUAAAGUGGCGGCUCAGGAAGAUUACUUAGUGAUCCUAAGGUCACAUGGCAUAGUUGAAAGGUACAAUAUAAAUGUGAAGCUGACUCGAGUCCACAUCCAUACUAUUGCUCAGCACUGCUUUGCAAACUUAGCCUGUGAGAGAAACUCAGUUAACAGUACCUAAUAGAAAACUCUGUUCCUUACUCUACGUUUGGUCCAGCUGCCUGGGCCAGUGAUGGAGUCCAAGAAUACACACACAACAUGCAUCCAAACACAGAGGUUAGGGACUUCUUGAAGGCGAGGCUGAAAAGCAGUACCACAUUGCUGAGUGGGAAAGUACAGUUGUUUGUACCCUCAGCCCAUGCAGAGACUCGAGUCAGUGAUGAGCAGAAGCCUUGGGGAAAAUUUUCCACUUGUGACUAAUUGAAGAGAGAAACAAAACUUGGUGAAGGACUAAAAGAGAGGACCCACG
This is a long non-coding RNA of Heterocephalus glaber (naked mole-rat), 1929 nucleotides long. The record is from Ensembl. Lineage: Eukaryota; Metazoa; Chordata; Mammalia; Rodentia; Bathyergidae.